Long non-coding RNA from Stylophora pistillata, 231 nucleotides. The record is from RefSeq and is a predicted model, not a curated record. Lineage: Eukaryota; Metazoa; Cnidaria; Anthozoa; Scleractinia; Pocilloporidae.
GUUGCACAAGCCACUCUUCACUGAGCAUGGCUCUGUAAACUUUCCAAAUACGAAUCCACCAACAGAUGAAGACAACAACGCUUACUGCGAGCUUGUACACUUUACACGAAGUUACAAUGCGACGCCAUCUGUCCAAAUAUCAGCCAAUCACAGCACAACAGCGAGUGGAAACUUGGCACCAGCUCAUAAUGGCAUUUCUACUUGGAUUGAGAAUAUGAAUGUGUCUGGAUU